Molecule: long non-coding RNA, 2761 nt
Filed under: Sus scrofa (pig)
Lineage: Eukaryota; Metazoa; Chordata; Mammalia; Artiodactyla; Suidae
Description: lncRNA (ENSSSCG00000050904.2, ENSSSCG00035027785.1, ENSSSCG00055005215.1, ENSSSCG00065047807.1)
Source: RNAcentral
UCUUGAAGAACAUUCUAGAAAGAAAAGCAGAAGAUUUUGGGAAUGGAAAUGGGGUUACAAGCAGGUAGACACUAAAAAUGAGAAGAAGAGAAGGAACAGCAAAGGUAGGAAAAGAAAUGGGAGAGCAGGAGUUCCCAUGAGGAUGCAGAUUUGAUCCCUGGCCUUUGAUCCUGUGGCUCCGUGGCUCGGAUCUCAGAUCUCUACAUAGCUGAGGCUGUGACAUAGCCUGGGAACUUCUGUAUGUCAUGGGUGUGGCCCUAAAAAACAAACAAACAAAAAAACAAAAAAGAAAGCAAGAAAGAAAUGAGAGGGAGUUAGUGGCUCAGUGGUUAAGGAAUCCUACUAAGAACCAUGAGGUUGCAGGUUCGAUCCCUGGCCUUGCUCAGUGGGUUAAGGAUCCACCGUUGCCGUGAGCUGUAGUGUAGGUUGUAGACGUGGCUCAGAUCCCACAUUGCUGUGGCUCUGGUGUAGUCUUGGCAGCUACAGCUCCGAUUAGAUCCCUAGCCUGGGAACCUCCAUAUGCCUCGGAUGCAGCCCUAGAAAAGGCAAAAAAAAGGAAGAAAAAAAAAAAUGGGAGCGUAAACUGUUCAUAGUUGGGGUGGUCUUGAUAAUGUUUCCCAAAAGAUGUCCAUGUUCUAGUUCCUAGAACCCAAGAAUGUGUUAUUUUACCUAGCAAAUGGGUCUUUUCCAUUGUGAUUAAAUUAAGGAUUUUUGAGAUGGGAAGAUUAUCCUGGAUUGUUUGGGUGGACCCAGUGUAAUCAUGGAUCCUUUUAAGAAGGAGACAGGAGGAUGAGAGUCGCAGAAGGUGAUGAGAUGACAGAAGUGAGGGCCUGAGAGAUGUGCCCCAGGAAAGGUCGACAGCCUCUUGGAAGCUCGAAGAAGCAAGGAAUAGAUUCUCCCUUAGAUCUUUCAGAACUGUAAGAGAAUAAAUAUGUGUUGCUCUAAGCCAGUAAAAUUGUAAUUUGUUACAGUAGUGAUAGGAAACUAAUGCGAUGAUUAACAAUUGAAAACAACCUCAGUACCGAACAGUGAUGGAUUGGCUAAAUAAGUUACAACAUAUAAGUUACAGACUUUUAUAAUUGUAGUUAGCCAUUAAAAAUUAUGCUGUAGGAGAUCAUCAGAUCAUAUGAAAAAUGUUCAUAAUACAUUGCCAAGCAUGGAAAGCAAGUUAAAAUAUUUGGGUUAAGGAUCCAGCAUCGUCACUGCUGUGGUGUCAGUUUGAUCGCCCAUGGGCAUGGCCAAAAAAAAAGUCAUGCAGUUUUUGCACUUGACUGUAGGUUUGGUAUAAAUACCUCAAUAAAGUUUUGCAUAUAGAUGUCCUAUUUUUUCAAAGAAGAUACACAUGUGUUACACUUGUAUAUCUGUGAAUAAGGAAAAGACAGAAUAUGUAAACCAGGUGUUAAUAAUGAUUGCCUCUGGGUGGGAGAAUUACAAAUGAUUUUUUUGACUGUGCUCGUGUAUAUAAAAGUUCCCAGGCCAGGGAUUGAACCCAUGCCACAGCAGUCAUAGCAGUAACUACUGGAUCUUUAACCUGCUGAGUCAUAGCAGAGUCAUAGCAGUAACUACUGGAUCUUUAACCUGCUGAGCUGCUAGGGAACUCCACAGAUGGAUUUUUAUAUUCAUUUGUGAUUCUUUGCUGUAUAUUUCAGGUUUUUUUCAAUGAACAGGUGUUACUUUUUUGAUUAGAAAAAAAUAUGUGUGUAUAAAUAUAUAUGUAUAAUUUUUUUUUUUUUUUCAGACCACAAGUAUGGCAUAUGGAAGUUCUCAGCUAGGGGUCACACUGGAGCUACAGCUACGAGCCUGUGCCACAGCCACAGCAGUGCCAGAUCUGAGCUGCACUUUCGGCCUAAACCAUAGCUUGAGGCAACUUAGGAUCCUUAACCCACUAAGUGAGGCCAGUGAUUGAACCCACAUCCUCAUGGGUACUGACUGGGUUCGUUUCCACUGAGCCACAAUGGGAACUCCAGAAAAAAAUAUUUUUAAAAGUGGUUUUUAAAAAUUAAGGGGAGUUCCCUCGUGGCUCAGUGGGUUAAGGAUCCAGUAUUAGUUCAAUCCCUGGCCUGGGGACUGGCAAGUAUGGGCAUGGCCUAAAUAAAUAAAUAAAUUGGUGUUGUUAUGAAGAAAAAAAUUAAGGAAGAAGGGUAGGGAGAAAAUUUGAGGAAGGAUUUGUAAGCUAAGGGGCAAGGGCCCUGCAAUACCUGGCACAACUAAGGCCCUAUAAACUUUGUGAAAAUAGGUGAUUUAAAAAAAUAUAUACCCCAGGAGUUCCCGUCGUGGCGCAGUGGUUAACGAAUCCGACUAGGAACCAUGAGGUUGCGGGUUCGGUCCCUGCCCUUGCUCAGUGGGUUGACGAUCCGGUGUUGCUCUGAGCUGUGGUGUAGGUUGCAGACGCGGCUCGGAUCCUGCAUUGCUGUGGCUCUGGCAUGGGCCGGUAGCUGCAGCUCUGAUUGGACCCCUAGCCUGGGAACCUCCAUGUGCCACAGGAGCGGCCCAAGAAAUGGCAAAAAAAAAAGACCAAAAAAAAAAAUGUAUAUAUAUACCCCAGAGUUCGCAUCAUGGCUCAGUGGAAACGAACCUGACUAGCAUCCAUGAGGAUGCAGGCUCGAUCCCUGGCCUCGCUCAGUGGAUUAAGGGUCUGGUGUUGCCGUGAGCUGUGGUGUAGGUUGGAGAUGCAGCUUGGAUCUGACGUUGCUGUGGUGUAAGCCAGCGGCGACAGCUCCUUUUUGACCUCUAGCCUGGGAACCUCUAUAUGCCAUGGGUG